GACGAACGCUGGCGGCGUGCUUAACACAUGCAAGUCGAACGGAAAGGCUCCAGCUUGCUGGAGUACUCGAGUGGCGAACGGGUGAGUAACACGUGGGUAAUCUGCCCUGCACUCUGGGAUAAGCCUGGGAAACUGGGUCUAAUACUGGAUAUGACCUUUCUCCUUAUGGGGUUUGGUGGAAAGUUUUUCGGUGUAGGAUGAGCCCGCGGCCUAUCAGCUUGUUGGUGGGGUGAUGGCCUACCAAGGCGACGACGGGUAGCCGGCCUGAGAGGGUGAUCGGCCACAUUGGGACUGAGAUACGGCCCAGACUCCUACGGGAGGCAGCAGUGGGGAAUAUUGCACAAUGGGCGGAAGCCUGAUGCAGCGACGCCGCGUGAGGGAUGACGGCCUUCGGGUUGUAAACCUCUUUCAGCAGGGACGAAGCGUAAGUGACGGUACCUACAGAAGAAGCACCGGCUAACUACGUG
RNAcentral lists this ribosomal RNA (467 nucleotides) under uncultured bacterium. Its description in RNAcentral is "partial 16S ribosomal RNA". It matches the Rfam family "Bacterial small subunit ribosomal RNA", at positions 28 to 507 of the family's 1533-position model. The record is from RNAcentral.